RNAcentral lists this long non-coding RNA (4621 nucleotides) under Homo sapiens (human). RNAcentral describes it as "HSALNT0001344". The record is from RNAcentral. Lineage: Eukaryota; Metazoa; Chordata; Mammalia; Primates; Hominidae.
GUUUCUUAAGAGUCUUCUAGUUGUUGAGCUGAAAUUCGGCAUUUCCAGUGCUGAAAUUCAAGGUCUCAUGAAUUAUUUCUGUGUCCAUUAGUUUUUCUAUCACUCCCAGUGUAUAGAUAUUAGAAUAGCAGGAUGCCAAGGGUAAAGGAGGAAGGAAAUAUAGAAGGCAAGUCACUGACUUGGCCACUGCUGCCAGCGCUGGGCAGCUCUGCUGUUUAUGCUCCCCAGCUCAUAGCCUGCCCACUCUCAGACGCACGAACUGAGCGUCUUGAGAUGUUGGCACUUGUUUCUCUGGUGUGUUCAUGCCCAACCAACCCAACUAGGUGCUGCUCCUUGGAAACAUAAAACAAGUCCUUUUCUGUUUGUGUACCCCCAUAGCCAGGUGAGAUCCAAAUAUAAAUAAAUAUUUAUGGCAAGGAGAUUGUUGCUUUGUGUUACAACUUACGUUUAUGAUUUUGUGCUCUAAUUUUUAGAUAAACUGCUAUAGUUUUCCACUAUUGAGCUGAAUUUCGUAUCACCAUCAAAAGUUACCUACCUACAAGUCCCUAGUAGAGAAAAUUUAACUUCUGGCUUUAAAAAAGGGACAGAAAAGCAGGCAGAUCUGCUAGUAAGCAAACUACAGCUCCCCCGAGGAGACACACAGGCAGUGGGUAAGAGGAACAGACCCAUGGCUCCACUGAAGACACAGAGCAGCAGACGAAAAAGACAUGUCCUAAAUGUUAAAUGGUAAGGAGGGGUAGGGUGAAAAAAGGGAACAUGGAUGCCAGGCAGAAGAAAUAAAAGCCUUUCCAAACAUUUGUAUUACAUGAUGCUGGCUCUCACUGAUAAACCACUGGAUGAGAACUGUACUUCAUCCAUAUCAUCCUGUUGGUUGCAGAUCCCGUCACCCCAUAUCUAAAACAUAUUUCCUUCUGGAGCUUUACUGUUGAUACUGCUUUGAGAUGUAUCAUUUGGUUUUGGUUUUACAUAUUUAACAUUUUAAUGAAAGGGUGACUUGAGUAAGGCACUACUUUUUCAAUAAAUAGCAACAGAACCAAUUUGCCUGGGAGGAGACCUGCCAGCAAGCCAUGAGGGGCAUUUCCAAAAUUUCCAGUAUAGGCUGCUCCCAAUUUCUGCCUCCACUUUAAAAACACUUUGCACUUACUAGUGUUAUUCCAGGAGAGCCAGUUAAUAGUUUAAUGAAACUAGUUAGAGUUUAAAGGCAGCAAAUGGGAUAAUUUAAAAUAAUCAUCCCAUUUUUAUUGAUGGUUCUCAAAUCUCUCUCCAGAUCUGACAUUUUGCCCUAGCUCAGACUUGUACCUACACUUUCUAUUCAGACUAACGUCCUCCAUAGUUUUAGGACAUCACCAUCCCAACUUGGGCACUGACAGCCCACAGGCCACAUCCUCCUCAAGUAGCAACUCAUGAACCCAGAGAACUGACUGAAAUAGUUCAGUGUUUCUUGAGCUCCCCAAGGCCUUCAGGCUUCUGUGCAGAGUGGAAGUGGUAGUGGUAGUGGCACAAGUAUGCUAAUUGCCACAGUACACUCUCCAAGGUAAGUGUAACCGGGCCCAUUCUACAGAUAAACUAAAGGUUAGGUAAAUUAAAUCUCCUGGCCCAUCCACAUCUAAUCAUCAUCAGGGCCAGGAUUCAAGUCCAGUUCUAACAACAAAAGCCAUGCCAAUGGUAACAGAGUGCGUGUGAGCUGCUAAGUACUUCUGUGUAUUAACUCAUGCCAUUAAAGUCCGUAGAUGCCAUAGGGUGACCCAGAGCCACACUGGGUAGGCCCCUCCAGGCAUUCCUUUGUCUUCCAAAUACCAACUGAGGUGCAGGCUUAUUACCCUUACGUUACUACUGGCACAAGUAAAACUUCUUCCUGCAUAUACCUUAAGACGGGGGUCUCCAGUCCCCAGGGUACAAACCACUACCAGCCUGUUAGGAACUGGGCCACAAAGCAGGAAGUGAGCGGCAGGCAAGUGAGCAAAGCUUCAUCUGUAUUUACAGAUGCUCCCCCUGGCUUGCAUUACCGCCUGAGCUCUACCUCCUGUCACAUCAGCAGCGGCAUUAGAUUUUCAUAGGACCACGAAUCCUAUUGUGAACUGCGCAUGUGAGGGAUCUGGGUUGCGUGCUUCUUUUGAGAAUCUAAUGUCUGAUGAUCUGUCACUGUUUUCCAUCACCCUCAGGUGGGACUGUCCAGUUGCAGGAAAACAAGCUCAGGGCUCCUACUGAUUCUACAUUAUAGGGAGUUGUAUAAUUAAUUCAUUACAUAUUACAAUGUAAUAAUAAUAGAAAUAAAGUGCACAAUAAAUGUAAUGCGCUUGAAUCAUCCUGAAACCAUCCUUCCCCUCAGCCCAUGGAAAAGCUGUCUUCCACAAAGCUGGUCCCUGGUUCCAAAAAGGUUGGGGACCUCUGCUGUAUACCACUGUAGUCUUAUAAACACUGUUUACUUAAUUAACCUAAACAUUUAAAAUGUUUCCUUUCUUCAAUAAUAAAUUAACCUUAGCUUACUGUAACUUUUUUCACUUUAUAAAGUUUAAAAUUAACCUCAUGGGCCUAGCACCUCAAAUCUCCCCCGCUUCUCUCUCCCCAAGCCAGCUUGCCCUCUCUUAGCUCCCUGUGGCCCUAUUUCUGUCAGCUGCAGCAGAGUUCUAGAAGAAGUGCCUGGCGUGCUCUCUGUCCAUUCCCACUCCUUCCAUCAGUCACCAUGCCCUCUAGAUUCAUUCUUCACUUCAUGGAGUUUCCUGUUCGGCAUGCUCCUCGGUUUUUGCAAGGGCUCUGCCAACUACAGGGCCACGUCAUGCCAGUGACUGCACUGGUCUCCUCCCUGGCCUCAGUGUGUCUCCACACCCCUCCCCCCAACAUUCCAGUUCUGGGCAUUCUGUAUAUUAAUGUGUUCUCUUAUUUGAAGACCUGUGACAAUUCCUAGUACGUCCAAACUAUCGGUCUGCUAGUUAGUUAACAGCCUCCACAAUUGGGUUCCCAAUCACCUACACCACCAUGUAGUGAAGUUAGUUACUGCAGUACCCCAUCCUGAUUCCUUUCCCUGGGUUUUUACCAAUGCCUUUCUCUCUUACCCAAUCUAGAAUGUCCCCUCUUCACUUCUGCUUAUUCAAACACAUCAACUCAACUAACAUUCAUUGAGCCCUCAUUCUAGUGAACACACUGUGCAAAGAGCACAGCACGAGGCACUGAGUGAACAAGGAGCACAGCACGAGGCACUGAGUGAACAAGGAGCACAGCACGAGGCACUGUGCGAAGCAUGUUCCAGUUUCAACUCUAUCCCUACACAGAGUCCGCUCUGCUCUCUCUCCCUUCUCUGAAAAACAACAAUUCCUGUUUAUGACUAGAAUUAAUAAGCACUUCUGCCAUUAAAAGGUCUAUAGAUCUUCCACCAAAUUGUGGAUUCCUUUCCAGCAAGAGGUGGGUCUCUCUGUUCUCUCCUCCUGAGCCUGGGUAGACCUUUGUAACUGUCUUGACCAACAGAAUGUGACAGAAUGAUACCAGGUGACUUCUAAGACUACAUCAUACAAAGCAACACAGCUUCUGCUGGGCUCUCCCUCUCUGGACACGUGUCUUUGAAGCCCUGAGCUGCCAGAUUAAACAGUCCGGCUUGCCUAAAGUCACCACGCUGGAGAGACCAUCAGGGAUGGAGAGGUGCUACAGAAACCCUAGCUAUUCUAGUCCCCAGCCAUUUGAGUCUUCCUAGCCCAGACUCAUAAGUGAAGAAACCUUCAAGAUGAUUCCAAUACCUCCUAUCACUUGACUGCAACCUCGUGAAAGCCUAAGCCAGACCUGCACGGUGGAGCCAUUCCUAAAUUCUGGUCCCACAGAAACUGUGAAAGAUAAUAAAUGAUCAUCAUUGCUUUACAUUGGGCUAAUUUUUAUUAUCAGGGGUAACGUGUUACAUAGCGAUAGGCAACUAAUACAAGAUUCAUUACUAAAACCACUAAAAACUUUAACCUGUUAGUCACUAUUAAUUUAAGCAAACAAAUAAGCAAUCUUCCAAUGAUGCUUCCCCAAUUUGCAUGCCUCUCUAUAACCUUACUCUGCCUUCAUUUUAAGGCCUAGCUCUUAUCACCAUAUGUGAUAUGAUUAGAUAACACGAUAUAGGCUACGUUACUGAAUAUAUGAGGAAAGGGCCUUUGUUUUGUUCACUAUUAUAUCCCCAGCACCUAGAACAGCACUUGACAACAUAUAGCAGGUGCUUGACAACCACUGGUUCAGUACAAGAAUGUAUCUGGAGAUGAUUGGGCUUAGUGUUCCUCCAAGGCUAUUUGACCUCUCAUCACCUGUUCUCCAGUUUGACUCAACGUCUCUUAAUAUAUAUUCACUGCACUGUUAAGUUUCUAACUCUCUAACUACUACUGACAAAACCAUUAGAUGUUCUUCGUUCAAACCCACUAGAGGAACUACACCAUCCCCUCCGUGAUGCCAGCUCAGCAUCCAGAGUAGAGCCAGUGAUUUCCUUUGUCAACACACCUGCAUGCCAAAAACCCUUCCCAGGAGGUCUCAAAUAUCAAAUAAAAGUUACUCCAUUUUUCAUUCAAAGACCAUGUGCCCAAUGGGAAAAUGACCUCAUGUUGUGGUUUAAACAGCAACUGCACCCACUAGCACAGCCCAUUGAGCUAUCCUAUAUAUACAU